This 519-nucleotide ribosomal RNA is filed under the name uncultured bacterium. RNAcentral describes it as "bacterial SSU rRNA". It matches the Rfam family "Bacterial small subunit ribosomal RNA", at positions 8 to 518 of the family's 1533-position model. The record is from RNAcentral.
AGAGUUUGAUUCUGGCGUCAGGAUGAACGCUGGCGGCGUGCCUAACACAUGCAAGUCGAACGAGGGUGCUUGCACCCUAGUGGCGAACGGGUGAGUAACACGUAGGUAACCUGCCCUUAAGGCUUGGGAUACCCAGAGGAAACUUUGGCUAAUACCGGAUAACAAUGGAAGAGGCAUCUCUUCUAUUUUAAAAGGCCCGUUUGGGUCACUUAAGGAUGGACCUGCGGCGCAUUAGCUAGUUGGUGAGAUAACAGCCCACCAAGGCAAGGAUGCGUAGCCGACCUGAGAGGGUGAUCGGCCACAUUGGAACUGAGACACGGUCCAAACUCCUACGGGAGGCAGCAGUGAGGAGUUUUCGGCAAUGGGGGAAACCCUGACCGAGCAACGCCGCGUGAAAAUGAUGACGGCCCUAUGGGUUGUAAAGUUCUUUUAUUAGGGACGAACGACUAGCUUAGGAAAUGAAGCUAGUUUGACGGUACCUUUUGAAUAAGCCACGGCUAACUACGUGCCAGCCGCUGC